RNAcentral lists this ribosomal RNA (253 nucleotides) under uncultured bacterium. RNAcentral's name for it is "partial 16S ribosomal RNA". It matches the Rfam family "Bacterial small subunit ribosomal RNA", at positions 524 to 776 of the family's 1533-position model. The record is from RNAcentral.
UACGAAGGGGGCUAGCGUUGUUCGGAAUUACUGGGCGUAAAGCGCGCGCAGGCGGUCUUCCAAGUCAGUGGUGAAAGCCCGGAGCUCAACUCCGGAACUGCCAUUGAAACUGUUAGACUUGAGGAUGAGAGAGGUGAGUGGAAUUCCCAGUGUAGAGGUGAAAUUCGUAGAUAUUGGGAAGAACACCGGUGGCGAAGGCGGCUCACUGGCUCAUUACUGACGCUUAGGCGCGAUAGCGUGGGGAUCAAACAGG